RNAcentral lists this small RNA (29 nucleotides) under Bombyx mori (domestic silkworm). RNAcentral describes it as "ovarian small RNA-22668". Lineage: Eukaryota; Metazoa; Arthropoda; Insecta; Lepidoptera; Bombycidae. The record is from RNAcentral.
UAGGAGUUCACCCCCUGCGCUUUACCAGC